RNAcentral lists this ribosomal RNA (484 nucleotides) under uncultured bacterium. RNAcentral describes it as "partial 16S ribosomal RNA". It matches the Rfam family "Bacterial small subunit ribosomal RNA", at positions 30 to 507 of the family's 1533-position model. The record is from RNAcentral.
AUUGAACGCUGGCGGCAGGCCUAACACAUGCAAGUCGAGCGGAUGAAGGGAGCUUGCUCCUGGAUUCAGCGGCGGACGGGUGAGUAAUGCCUAGGAAUCUGCCUGGUAGUGGGGGAUAACGUCCGGAAACGGGCGCUAAUACCGCAUACGUCCUGAGGGAGAAAGUGGGGGAUCUUCGGACCUCACGCUAUCAGAUGAGCCUAGGUCGGAUUAGCUAGUUGGUGGGGUAAAGGCCUACCAAGGCGACGAUCCGUAACUGGUCUGAGAGGAUGAUCAGUCACACUGGAACUGAGACACGGUCCAGACUCCUACGGGAGGCAGCAGUGGGGAAUAUUGGACAAUGGGCGAAAGCCUGAUCCAGCCAUGCCGCGUGUGUGAAGAAGGUCUUCGGAUUGGAAAGCACUUUAAGUUGGGAGGAAGGGCAGUAAGUUAAUACCUUGCUGUUUUGACGGUACCAACAGAAUAAGCACCGGCUAACUUCGUG